RNAcentral lists this long non-coding RNA (3261 nucleotides) under Sus scrofa (pig). Its description in RNAcentral is "lncRNA (ENSSSCG00025013686.1)". The record is from RNAcentral. Lineage: Eukaryota; Metazoa; Chordata; Mammalia; Artiodactyla; Suidae.
GCGCUGGCCGGCCUCGGGGCCGGGUCUCUGGCGAUUCAGGCCUUUUGCUAAGAGUCGUGACGUGCACGUGACCCCAUUGACCAGCCUUUCCUGCAUGAAUUCUUGACAACUUUCAAGAUCCAGAUGGGAAGAGGGCAGUGCUAUAGGAGGGGAGACCACUGGUGACAUGCCAGGCGGAUCCAAAACCAAGCAGAAGCGCUCAGAAGCAUCCUUGUCAGAACACUGGGAGAGAGACGUUGACAGCCACCAACCGAAUGCUGAACAAAGGCGGAGGAAACUGGAAAAUGAAUGCUAUGGUGAAUGCCACCGAGUCCAUGGGGACAGUAAUGAGAAAAUGAAGAUGGAUGCUUCUUGGAGCUCAGCUAACGGUGGAGGAAGAACUUUGGACAGACUUCUACGCUUCCCACCCUCUGACACCUGUAGAAAAUCGUCAUUCUAGUCCAGAGUUAUCGGUUUCCCCCUGGACUCCUGCAAACUCUACCUGGAAGAAGAAUCUGUUCUCCAUCUCUGAGGCAGUGGUUCUCACACAUGCUCAUCACAAGAGUCCCUCAAAGGGGCAGAGUCCCAGCUGGAAUCAGGAAAUGUGAUCACAGAAGCCAGGUCAGAGUGAUGUGCCUGUUGGCUUCAAAGACGGAGGAAAGGGGCCAUGAGCCAAAGGAUGUGAGCAGCCUCUAGAAGCUGGACAAGGCAAAGAUUCUCUGCCAGAGACUCUGAAAGGAACAGAGCUCCGCCGACAUCUGCGUUAGCCCAGUGAGACCCUUUUUGGACAUCUGGACUAGAGAAUGGUAAGAUAGUAAAUUUUUUGUUGUUUUAAGCUACUAAGUUGGGGGCGAUUUGUUAUGAUGUCAAAAAGAAGGUAAUAUGCAGGAUGUCUGAGCAGAGCAAAGGUAGGACAAUGGUUUGUGGAGGAGAAAGUGCCAACAGAUAGCUGAAAGAGGGCAAAAGGGCCAGGUUCUGGCAGAGAGUGAUGCGGCUGGUAGGAUGCCUUGCUCUUUGCUGCGUUUGUUUGUUCAUUUGUUUCUAUUCCAGGUGUGGUAUAUGGAAGUUCCCAGGCUAGGGGUCACAUUGGAGCUGCAGCUGUGACCUCUGCCACAGCUUGAGGCAAAGCCUGAUCCUUAACCCACUGAGUGAGGCCAGGGAUGGAAGCCACAUCCUCACAGACACUGUGUUGGCUUCUUAACCUGCUGAGCCGCGGCGGGAACACUGAGUCUUUUAAGUCUUGAUGAUGUUGAUCUCAGGCAUGAAAUGGUGAAAAGAUACGGAAUAUAAAUUUGUCCACUGGAUAUGAGUGAACUGGAGAAACAAGAAAGCAAACCAGUUAAUCAAGAACUUUCUGUGUUUUUGUACAGAGACGAGAGGAAUCAAAAUUUCAUAAGAGCAAUAAACCUAGAAAGGAAGGGAGAAACAGUCUUGGCAAGAAAUUAUUUUCUUGUCUCUGAGAUAAAUUUUAUAAGAAUCUAAUAAAGGAUUUUAUAAGGAUAUUUAUUUAUAUUUUUGGAAGACUUGCAGACUUUUUUAUUUUGCAUGGUUCAUUUCACAUUCUCCAAAUGGAUCCUCCAUUUGAUAUUUCUCUGAACAAGAAUAUCAUAAAAGUCCAGCACUAGUAGGUGAUCUUAUGCGAAUAAGUAUGGGUUCACUGUUAAAGGAGAGGAACUGUUCUAUUUCUUAUCUUCGUUCUGCUUUUCUCAAGAGAAUGUUCUCUUGCCUCCUUGUGGUCUCUUAAAAUCAUUAGUGUGUGUGUGUGUGUGUGUGUGUGUGUGUGUGAGAGAGAGAGAGAGAGAGAGAUUGACCACAAACACUGUGAAUUCUAGAGGAAAAGGGACAGUAGUCUGAUAGCACAAAGUGAGAGGUAUUUAUAAAAUGAUUUUUGCCCCCAAAAUAUAUAGUGAUUGAAGUAUAUGUACAUGGUAUUAUAUAAUCUUAAAACGAUAAUUAAGAGAUGGCCCCUCUAAAGACCCACAUACUAGGAUUUGUAGGUUUUCUAGAUUUCCAGCUGUGGCACAGUGGGUUAAGGGCCUAGCGUUGCCAUAGCUGUGGGGUAGGUCACAACUGCGGCUCAGAUUCAAUCCCUGGCCAGGGAACUUCCAUAUGCCACAGGUGCAGCCAAAAAAUAAAUAAAUAAAAAAUGAAAAUUUCAGGUUUUCCUCAGCCUCAUGUUCCGUGGUCCGUGUUUCCUCCUCCAUCCCACCCCACAUCCCGCUGGAAGCUCACUAACUGCUGUGUGUUUUAGUCAAAUGAGAUCUCUAAAGAAAACGUCACUCCUCCUCCCGUGUGUUUUUCCUUUAUUCUCACACUACUCCCACACUCACUAUACUUCUGGCACCAGAUAUGUGUGUCUGUUCCCCACCCCCGCCUCCAAGCAGUCGUGCAACACCAGCUGGACAUCCUGUCAUUUAACUCAGUUCUGACCCUGUCUCCCUGGAGAUAACAUCACAUCCCACAGGUUGAAGGCCUAGUCCCAGAAUACUGCCCCUCUCCCUUCAGAUGCCAACCUCAAGGUCAUGUCGUCGCCUGUGUGUCAACCUCGUGUGCUAUCUAAAUGGAUGGUUCCUAUGACUCCACCUCAAGUGCGAUUAAUUUGCUAGAUCAGCUCCGAGUACGUAGGAAAACUCUUUACCAGUUUAUUAGAAGAGGAUAUGAUAAAGGAUACAGAUGCUCCAAGAUGCAUCAGAUGAACAGAACAAGAAAGUGGGCAGGGCAGGGAGUUUCAGGCCUCCUCCAUGUGCCCCACCUCCCAGCACCUCCACGUCUCACCAAAAUGGAGCUCUCUAUACUUGUGAGAUUUUUAUGGAGCUUCCCCCAUGCAGGCAUGAUCAGUCAUUAAUUCCGUUUUUAGCUCCUCUCCUCUCUCUGGAGAGUGGGAGGUAAGGCUGAAAGCUCCAAGCUUCUAAUCACAGCUUGACCUUUCUCAUGACCUACCCCCAUCUAGGAGCCCACCAAGGAUCACCUCAUUAAACUAAGACACUCCCAUCACCCAGUAAAUUUCAAAGGAUUUAGGAACUCCGUGUCAGACACUGAGGUCAAAAGCCAAAUAUUAGGAGUUCCCAUUGUGGCUCAGUGGAUUAAGAACCUGAUUAGUAUCCAUGAGGAUGCAGGUUCGAUCCCUGACCUCGCUCAGUGGGUUAAGGACCUGGCGUUGCCCUGAGCUGUGGUGUAGGUCGCAGACACAUCCCAGAUUCCAUGUUGCAGCUUCCAUUCCACCCCUAUCCCGGGAACUUCCAUGUGUCCCAGGUGUAGCCAUAAAAAGAAAAAGAAAAAAAA